AAUGUUAAAGGUUACAACACAAUUAAACCACUGUAUCAAAGUAAUGUGAAUGUUGAUGCUGUGUCCCAGGUGAAGUGUCGACCCAAUGAAUGCUGUGGAUUACUUCAAUCAUUAUAAAUAUUACCAUUUCUUCUCUGUUUGCUUUGGCCUGGGCUGUGCACUAAUACUCUAC
Long non-coding RNA from Xyrauchen texanus (razorback sucker), 172 nucleotides. RefSeq lists it as uncharacterized. The transcript has 3 exons. The record is from RefSeq and is a predicted model, not a curated record. Lineage: Eukaryota; Metazoa; Chordata; Actinopteri; Cypriniformes; Catostomidae.